AACCCAACAGCCUUUCCUGGGGCCGCGUGGCCUGGUUUCUCUUUCGCACUUUCUCCGUCUUCCGAGUUUUGAAGAUACGGUCGUCGAUAAAACACUGAGCCACACAAGCAUGCAGAUUGCCUGACCAGCAGUGUCGUUCCUGGGCUGACCCACGCAGAAGUCGCUCCGGUGACUCCCGAGACACGUACAGAACAGGCUCAGAAAGAGCCCUCACGCCCUUAGGGUGAAAUUUAAGUGACCAACUAGCGGAAGUUACCUGGCGAGCAAAGGCGCGGGGACAGAGGGGAACUGGCGCUGUGGUGGAGGUGACUGUGGUCGGGCCUGCGUCCUGGGGGGGGGGGGCCGCGUCUGACGUGCUAAGUGAAAAAAGAACAGAGAAGUGAGUGCGUGGCACGGCUGACACUAUAGGCACGUGUGGACGCAGGAAAACGAGGGGGAAAAACCCCGCAAGGCUGCCUGCGUGCCGCGGGCGGGACCCGCCGCCUCCUGCCCCAGUCCCCUCGCGCCUGUGCUCCGCCCCCGCCCUUGGUCAGGAGAGCGGGCCUUCGCUGUGAGAACUGCAGGCACUUGCUGAUCCUCGCGGCUCACAGCGCCAUGGUUGGGAGUAAAGCGACGGCGACACUUCGAUCUCCGGGAACGGAGAGCUGUGAGAGCCAUGACCUGGCUCGUGUACAGGUAGCAGUGACGGGUGUCACGACAAAGUCCUGAUCAGCUGGGGUAACCGCGGGGCUCCCUGUCUGAUCUGGGACACUGGGGAGGGUGCAGUGCUCAUGGUUAAAACCUACAUCAGAAAAAUCUGCACGACCUGUCCCCGGAGACCCGGACACUGGGGACACACCAGGAGGCAGCGUCGCGCCUGGUGGAGGGUCCGAGAGGUCACGUUUGACCCCGACUUGCAGGACACACAGGUGGACGCCAGGUGGACCAAGAGACAGGGGGAGAGAGAGGCUUCGGGUAAGAGGCGGCAGGUGGGGAGCUGCUUGUGAACCAGACAGCAGGCAGGCCGCCCCCAAGCACUUCUGGCUUCUGGAUAUUGGACGUCGACAGCCAUUGUCACCUCGAGGCCUCUGGGAGAAAGAAGGGGAUGGGGAUCUCAAAACGGGGGCUUGGGAGGCACUUGGGUGCCACCUAGCCCGGCCUCGCCUUGGCACCAGCCUUCAUCGUGCUUCCUGAGGAACGGGGUCUCCAGCCUCACCCGCUCUGUUCCCGAGGCACACGGCUGAUGCCGCCAGGCCCCACCGCCCUGUGCUGCUUUAUUGCUAGAAAGUUCCUUCUCCCAUGAAUUUUAAAUCUGCCACCCUCUCGCUUCUACCCUGUGUAACACGUGGUGUGACUGCGUCGAGGACUGAGAGGAGGAAGGAAAGGUGCCCAGGCUCUAUGAUUAUUUACAUUAAGACCCGAGAAAGUCUACAGACAUCUUAUAAAUAACAGGAGAGCUUAUGAUGUCACUGCAUGGAAGGGCAAUGCACGGACGUCAGCAGGAGCCCGGCCCUGGGAGGUGCCAGUGAGAGUCGAGCCUGGGAGCAGGCUGGGGCGGCAGAGUCCCGGGUGGGACGGCCGGGAGCCCCGCUCACCGUGCCCUGAAGCCCGGGGAGGGGUGGGCAGGGGCAGCUUCCCCACUGUCCCGCUUCCUCGGCCAUCCCCCAUCCCCCACUGCCCGAGGCCUCUUCCACCCCGGAAGGCCCUGCCUGGGAAGGACACGGAAUUCCUCAGAGCUGGAGAAUGCUGUGACCUUUGGGGACAGGACAAGGUUUCUAGGGCCUGGAUUCCCGCCUCCAGCUCCAGAUUGGGAUUCCCAAGACAGGGGUCCCCAGGGGAAGCUCCUUUUAAGGGCAGAGCUGCCUGGGGGCCAGUGGGGCCAUUCGUGGGGAUGGGGUGGGCUCUGAUGGGGACAAGGCCGGCCCGGCCGAUCCAGGGGCCGGAGGCUGGGAGGCUGCACAAAUCCCGCUGUCCCUCUCCCCAGGGGCCGGGGACAGUGUCCAGAACCCCGGGGGAGGGUGGAAGUGGGCAGCAGCUGUCACCAGCCUCCUGCACUGCCCACGGCCAGCCCUUGUCCCCGCCCUCAGAGGCCCGAGAUUUUUCAGGGAACAUACUGGAUUCCCAGAGCCAUGACUUGACUUGCAAACACUUCCUUCCGGCCCAGAGCGGGGGGUCACGCUUGCAUCUUCCAUUCCUCUGUGUGCUCAGCUGCAUUUGGUAAGCACAGCAGAGCUCUGCUCCGGCAGCUUCUCGCACAGACAGGGAGGGGCGGGCGGCAGCCAGCCCACACCCCCCAGGGGUGUUCGUGCCCCCGGGAGAACUCGCCCGCGUGCACACUCACCCACAGUCCGCACACACUCGCGCCCUCACGCACGGCAGCCCCAGUUCUCCGUGGGUCUGGCCUCUAGCUUCCAGGCACCUUGGAGUGAACGGUGAACUAGAACAGGAAGUGGUGAAACCCGAUGGAUUGGGAGGUUGCAGAAAUGGCUUGGUGUUUGCGGGUGGAGUUCUAGAAAGUUCUAGAAAGAUUCAAACUUCAAACUGACUCAACCUUGGCUCCACGGGGAACACAGGGCAAAGCCCCAUCGCACUUUUAUGUUUAAAAUGUUUCUGUUUGAAGCCUCCUUAUUUAACGUGUUGUUGAUGUGGUAACAUGACUUCCCCUGAAAGAGGCCUGUCGGGCGUGCGACUUCUCCGCCGGGUGUAUCCCUGUCCUGGGGCCCAGACGCUGGCAGCAUCUCAGCACCAGGCCUGCGGCCCCUUUUUAAAAUGAAACCGCCGGCAGACGUGCAGACCCCAGGCACGACCCAGCCUGAGAAGGAUGUGAUCCACGGAGCUGCAACAGGCGGAGCCGGCCCCCCAGCCUCCACCAGGGAUGCCCCCCGGGGGCUGGCGCUGUCCCGGCCCCGUGCGGUGACCCUGCCUGGUGACCACGGGGACACGCAGCACUGGCCUGCAGUUGUGCUCAGCUUCAGGGAGGAGGCGAACUGGCAAAGGCAGAACCUGCGCGUCAGGGAACUGAGUGCUUUCCUUAAGGGAAGACUCAGAGAGCACUUCGGAGCCGCCACGUGGAAAGAGGAUAGAAAGCAUGACGGUUCAAGGUCUUCCUGCAGAAGGACAGCCCAGGUGUGUCCCCCACCUGGCCUCGCACACCUGACAGAGCCCCAGCCUGGAGCCGGGGGGGCGAGGGCAGCUCGGGUGGCCGCUCCAGGCCGCCCCCGACUGCACGACUGCCUGGAAGCCCUGACUUCUGGCCGGAAAUCCCUUCUGAAAGGAUGUGCCUGACCCCGCGGAGCCCGUUCCCAGGGACAACCUUGCUGCUGCGCGUGGGGGGCUGCACCGGCCUGGAUUCCUCGCAUAGCUCUGCUGGGAGCCCGGAGCAGGGGCGGGGCUUGGCACUCGUCUUCCCCACGGCCCAGGGCUCCUGGGAGAACACUUCUGUGCGUUUUAAACUUGCUCCUGCGCCCCCGGCCUUGGGCCCCCCACCCACACCGCACAGUCGGCCUCGCUGUGAUGCAGAAAUGGAUACAUUCUGGGGGAACCAGCCUCUGUGUAGGAAGUCGUCCCUCGACUUUUGUUACCACUCUUUUGCAACAAAGUCGUCCCUUUCUGUGGAAAGAGAAACAGCUCGCGCAGGGCAGCGUCGGUCUGCACCUGAGCCAGCAGGCCUGGCGGGCAGGCAGGCUCGCCAUCACCUCUGAAGCUCCAGGGACCGUCCGGCGCAUCUCCCUCCCCAGCAAGGCGGCCGUGGGCACCUCCUGGCUGUGGCCUCUGCGGAGAUGGCCACCCCGGGUGGCUCACCGGCCGGGGUCCCUGAGGAGCACAGGCUGAUUGGCCAGGGUUUCAGGCUGACCAUAUAAGGUCACGUGGGGGCAGUGGCCCCAUUCCUGGGAGUCCCCCUCCCCCAAAGUAGUUGAAACAGUCCUCCCUGUGUCAGCGCAGGGAGUUGCUCAGUCGAUGAAGGCCGGCCCGCCCGCGCCUCCCAGCUUCUGGCCGCCGCCUGCAGAGACGGCCGCGCUCUGUGCGGGCUGUGCGCCUGCCUUCAGCUACCCUGAGCACCCGCCCUGCAGCGCGUGGCCGUGCGCUUGCCUUCGGACACAGCCUGCACUCUGUCUGGGUGGGUGUGUCUCUCUGAAUACACCUACCUUUACUCACCUGUGGCUCCCCCUUGAAUUCUUUCCUGUGAAGCCAAGGACCCACGCUCAGUGGGGCGUGUCCCAAGGGCCCCACCGAGACCUGGGACACGGCCCUCCUCACGCCCCACACUGUUCCUGUGUCACCUGCUCUCCCUUUAGCUCUUUCCGAGCAUGUUUAUCAUGAACAACUGACCUCAGAGGUGGCCGCAGACACUUUGGGGCUGGGCCACGAUGGCUAACCCAGCCCAUGGCUUGGCCAUAGUCACCACAAACAGAAAAGGGCAGAGCCCAGGCCAGUCCCAGGUCUCCAACUUCCACCCUCCCCCAUGUGGACGCCUGGGGCUGCAGCCUGGGCCCUGGUGGGGAGGGUGGGCGCCAGAGAAUCGGUGGGUGGUUCUGCUGAAAGCCUGUGGUGAGGAAGGAAGGCAUAUGCGGCCAGAGUUUCCUGCGGGAGUUGGAGACAAUGAUGGCUGGCUGCUGGCAAGUUUGCCUGCCCCGGUGAGCCUGGUCUGACCCCAGCGCAUGACUCGGGGAGGCAGGGCUCCUCAGGCCCGGCUGAAGGCGCCUCGGACAGUAAGGAGGCGUCUGUGACUCCAAACACAAGUUUUUUUUUUUUGUCUUUACCUAGAAAGCACAUUUUGUUAUGGGAAAAUGAAACCAGAGAAUUUGUUCCACUGAGAGCUGAGGGCAGGUGAACAAAACAACGUACAAGCUGGACCCUGGGCAGCGGGACAGCCCCUCCGCGAACGCCCUCGUCAGGUGUGCACAUACCUGCACCUGCCACUUCUCUGAGGGACCAGCGCCCCAGGCAACCGCUCUGUAGUACGGGAGGCCCGGCGUGCCUUCUUCAUCGUUCAGCGUUCCCAGACUUUCUGAUGCUUGCGUCCUCACCCGUGCUUCUGUUGGCCCUGGUUUUACCCGAGGCAGAGAAAUCAGACCCCUUCGUUUCUGUGAUCGAGACGCCCAGUCCCUAUCUGAGUUUUUUGUUUCAUUUCAACUGAAAAAUUUGCCUCUUGGGCUUGAAAACAA
Molecule: non-coding RNA, 5144 nt
Organism: Vicugna pacos (alpaca)
Lineage: Eukaryota; Metazoa; Chordata; Mammalia; Artiodactyla; Camelidae
Source: RefSeq, a predicted model, not a curated record